AAAAAGGGCUUCUGUCGUGAGUGGCACACGUAGAGUAGCUUGGUUGCUCUACGUGCGGAAUCGACAUCAAGAGAUUUCGGAAGCAUAAUUUUUUGCAGUUCAGGCAGCUAGUGAUCGUUGGUCCUGGCGCCCUU
Artibeus jamaicensis (Jamaican fruit-eating bat) is the source of this 134-nucleotide small nuclear RNA. RefSeq annotates it as U11 spliceosomal RNA. The transcript has a single exon. The record is from RefSeq and is a predicted model, not a curated record. NCBI's taxonomy places the organism in Eukaryota, Metazoa, Chordata, Mammalia, Chiroptera, Phyllostomidae.